ACGCUCGACACCUACGGGAAGCAGCAGUGGGGAAUAUUGCACAAUGGGGGAAACCCUGAUGCAGCGACGCCGCGUGAGCGAAGAAGUAUUUCGGUAUGUAAAGCUCUAUCAGCAGGGAAGAAACUGACGGUACCUGACUAAGAAGCACCGGCUAAAUACGUACCAGCAGCCGCGGUAAUCUGAGCGGGCUGGCAAGGC
Molecule: ribosomal RNA, 198 nt
Filed under: uncultured bacterium
Lineage: Bacteria
Description: partial 16S ribosomal RNA
Rfam family: Bacterial small subunit ribosomal RNA
Source: RNAcentral